UACGGAGGAUGCGAGCGUUAUCCGGAAUCAUUGGGUUUAAAGGGUGCGUAGGCUGGUAUUUAAGUCAGUGGUGAAAUUUUCGUGCUUAACAUGAGAGCUGCCAUUGAUACUGGAUACCUUGAGUGUAUUUGAUGUGGGCGGAAUGUGUUGUGUAGCGGUGAAAUGCUUAGAUAUGACACAGAACACCGAUAGCGAAGGCAGCUCACAAAGUUACAACUGACGCUGAUGCACGAAAGCGUGGGGAUCAAACAGG
This 253-nucleotide ribosomal RNA is filed under the name uncultured bacterium. RNAcentral's name for it is "partial 16S ribosomal RNA". It matches the Rfam family "Bacterial small subunit ribosomal RNA", at positions 524 to 776 of the family's 1533-position model. The record is from RNAcentral.